This 491-nucleotide ribosomal RNA is filed under the name uncultured bacterium. RNAcentral's name for it is "partial 16S ribosomal RNA". It matches the Rfam family "Bacterial small subunit ribosomal RNA", at positions 29 to 506 of the family's 1533-position model. The record is from RNAcentral.
AGUGAACGCCGGCGGUAGGCCUAACACAUGCAAGUCGAACGGCAGCACAGUAAGAGCUUGCUCUUACGGGUGGCGAGUGGCGGACGGGUGAGGAAUACAUCGGAAUCUACUUUUUCGUGGGGGAUAACGUAGGGAAACUUACGCUAAUACCGCAUACGACCUACGGGUGAAAGCAGGGGAUCUUCGGACCUUGCGCGAUUGAAUGAGCCGAUGUCGGAUUAGCUAGUUGGCGGGGUAAAGGCCCACCAAGGCGACGAUCCGUAGCUGGUCUGAGAGGAUGAUCAGCCACACUGGAACUGAGACCCGGUCCAGGCUCCUACGGGAGGCAGCAGUGGGGAAUAUUGGAAAAUGGGCGCAAGCCUGAUCCAGCCAUACCGCGUGGGUGAAGGAGGCCUUUGGGUUGUAAAGCCCUUUUGGUGGGAAAGAAAAGCAGCAGGUUAAUACCCCGCUGUUCUGACGGUACCCAAAGAAUAAGCACCGGCUAACUUCGU